RNAcentral lists this ribosomal RNA (520 nucleotides) under uncultured Glomus. RNAcentral's name for it is "SSU rRNA". It matches the Rfam family "Eukaryotic small subunit ribosomal RNA", at positions 569 to 1092 of the family's 1831-position model. Lineage: Eukaryota; Fungi; Glomeromycota; Glomeromycetes; Glomerales; Glomeraceae. The record is from RNAcentral.
AGCAGCCGCGGUAAUUCCAGCUCCAAUAGCGUAUAUUAAAGUUGUUGCAGUUAAAAAGCUCGUAGUUGAAUUUCGGGAUCAAUAUGUUGGUCGUGCCUCGGUACGUACUAGCUUAUUGGUUUCCCCUUUCUGAAGAACCAUGAUGUCAUUUAUUUGGUGUCGUGGGGAAUCAGGACUGUUACUUUGAAAAAAUUAGAGUGUUUAAAGCAGGCUCACGCUUGAAUACAUUAGCAUGGAAUAAUGAAAUAGGACGUUUGAUUCUAUUUUGUUGGUUUCUAGGAUCGACGUAAUGAUUAAUAGGGAUAGUUGGGGGCAUUAGUAUUCAAUUGUCAGAGGUGAAAUUCUUGGAUUUAUUGAAGACUAACUACUGCGAAAGCAUUUGCCAAGGAUGUUUUCAUUAAUCAAGAACGAAAGUUAGGGGAUCGAAGACGAUCAGAUACCGUCGUAGUCUUAACCAUAAACCAUGCCGACUAGGGAUCGGAUGAUGUUAAUUUUUAAUGUACUCAUUCGGCGCCUUACG